AACGAACGCUGGCGGCAGGCUUAACACAUGCAAGUCGAACGCCCCGCAAGGGGAGUGGCAGACGGGUGAGUAACGCGUGGGAAUCUACCGUGCCCUGCGGAAUAGCUCCGGGAAACUGGAAUUAAUACCGCAUACGCCCUACGGGGGAAAGAUUUAUCGGGGUAUGAUGAGCCCGCGUUGGAUUAGCUAGUUGGUGGGGUAAAGGCCUACCAAGGCGACGAUCCAUAGCUGGUCUGAGAGGAUGAUCAGCCACAUUGGGACUGAGACACGGCCCAAGCGCCUAUGGGAGGCAGCAGGGGGGAAUAUUGGACAAUGGGCGCAAGCUUGACCCAGCCAUGCCGCGUGAGUGAUGAAGGCCUUAGGGUUGUAAAGCUCUUUCACCGAUGAAGAUAAUGACGGUAGUCGGAGAAGAAGCCCCGGCUAACUUCGUGCCAGCCGCCGCCGUAA
This 447-nucleotide ribosomal RNA is filed under the name uncultured bacterium. RNAcentral's name for it is "partial 16S ribosomal RNA". It matches the Rfam family "Bacterial small subunit ribosomal RNA", at positions 29 to 523 of the family's 1533-position model. The record is from RNAcentral.